AUUGAACGCUGGCGGCAGGCCUAACACAUGCAAGUCGAACGAGUGGCGGACGGGUGAGUAAUGUCUGGGAAACCCCCUGAUGGAGGGGGAUAACUACUGGCAACGGUAGCUAAUAACGCAUACCAUCGGAUGUGCACAGAUGGGAUUAGCUAGUGGGUGGGGUACUGGCUCAACAAGGCGACGAUCACUAGCUGGUCUGAGAGGAUGACCAGCACGACGGGAACUGAGACACGGUCCAGCCUCCUACGGGAGGCAGCAGUGGGGAUUAGUGCACAAUGGGCGCAAGCCUGAUACAGCCAUGCCGCGUGUAUGAAGAAGGCCUUCGGGUUGUAAAGUACUUUCAGCGGGGAGGCGUUACCCGCAGAAGAAGCACCGGCUAACUCCGUGCCAGCAGCCGCGGUAAUAC
This 406-nucleotide ribosomal RNA is filed under the name uncultured bacterium. RNAcentral's name for it is "partial 16S ribosomal RNA". It matches the Rfam family "Bacterial small subunit ribosomal RNA", at positions 30 to 526 of the family's 1533-position model. The record is from RNAcentral.